AUUGAGCGCUGGCGGCAGGCCUAACACAUGCAAGUCGAGCGGAUGAAGGGAGCUUGCUCCUGGAUUCAGCGGCGGACGGGUGAGUAAUGCCUAGGAAUCUGCCUGGUAGUGGGGGAUAACGUCCGGAAACGGGCGCUAAUACCGCAUACGUCCUGAGGGAGAAAGUGGGGGAUCUUCGGACCUCACGCUAUCAGAUGAGCCUAGGUCGGAUUAGCUAGUUGGUGGGGUAAAGGCCUACCAAGGCGACGAUCCGUAACUGGUCUGAGAGGAUGAUCAGUCACACUGGAACUGAGACACGGUCCAACCCCCAACGGGAGCAAGCGGUGGGGAAUAUUGGACAAUGGGCGAAAGCCUGAUCCAGCCAUGCCGCGGGGGGGAAGAAGGUCUUCGGUUGGAAAAGCACUUUAAGUUGGGGGAAGGGCAGUAAGUUAAUACCUUGCUGUUUUGACGUUACCAACAGAAUAAGCACCGGCUAACUUCGUG
This 483-nucleotide ribosomal RNA is filed under the name uncultured bacterium. RNAcentral's name for it is "partial 16S ribosomal RNA". It matches the Rfam family "Bacterial small subunit ribosomal RNA", at positions 30 to 507 of the family's 1533-position model. The record is from RNAcentral.